Molecule: ribosomal RNA, 921 nt
Filed under: uncultured bacterium
Lineage: Bacteria
Description: bacterial SSU rRNA
Rfam family: Bacterial small subunit ribosomal RNA
Source: RNAcentral
GAGUUUGAUCAUGGCUCAGGAUGAACGCUAGCGACAGGCUUAACACAUGCAAGUCGAGGGGCAGCGGGGGCGAAGCUUGCUUCGCCUGCCGGCGACCGGCGCACGGGUGAGUAACACGUAUGCGACCUGCCCCCCGCAGGGGGAUAACCGGGAGAAAUCCCGACUAAUACCGCGUAACGCCGCGGGGCUGCAUGGCCCCGCGGCCAAAGGAAGCGAUUCCGGCGGGGGAUGGGCAUGCGGCGCAUUAGCUAGUCGGCGGGGUAACGGCCCACCGAGGCGACGAUGCGUAGGGGUUCUGAGAGGAAGGUCCCCCACACUGGUACUGAGACACGGACCAGACUCCUACGGGAGGCAGCAGUGAGGAAUAUUGGUCAAUGGGCGGGAGCCUGAACCAGCCAAGUCGCGUGAGGGAAGACGGUCCUACGGAUUGUAAACCUCUUUUGCCGGGGAGCAACGGGGUCCUUGCGAGGGCCCAAUGAGAGUACCCGGAGAAAAAGCAUCGGCUAACUCCGUGCCAGCAGCCGCGGUAAUACGGAGGAUGCGAGCGUUAUCCGGAUUUAUUGGGUUUAAAGGGUGCGUAGGCGGGCUGUUAAGUCAGCGGUCAAAUGUCGGGGCUCAACCCCGGCCUGCCGUUGAAACUGGCGGCCUCGAGUGGGCGAGAAGUAUGCGGAAUGCGUGGUGUAGCGGUGAAAUGCAUAGAUAUCACGCAGAACUCCGAUUGCGAAGGCAGCAUACCGGCGCCCUACUGACGCUGAGGCACGAAAGCGUGGGUAUCGAACAGGAUUAGAUACCCUGGUAGUCCACGCAGUAAACGAUGAAUGCUAGCUGUCCGGUUCUACGGGACUGGGUGGCACAGCGAAAGCGUUAAGCAUUCCACCUGGGGAGUACGCCGGCAACGGUGAAACUCAAAGGAAUUGACGG